RNAcentral lists this ribosomal RNA (459 nucleotides) under uncultured bacterium. Its description in RNAcentral is "partial 16S ribosomal RNA". It matches the Rfam family "Bacterial small subunit ribosomal RNA", at positions 338 to 795 of the family's 1533-position model. The record is from RNAcentral.
CCUACGGGAGGCAGCAGUGAGGAAUAUUGGUCAAUGGGCGGGAGCCUGAACCAGCCAAGUCGCGUGAGGGAAGAAGGUACUGAGUAUUGUAAACCUCUUUUGCCAGGGGACAAAGGCGGCCACGGGUGGCCGUAAGAGGGUACCUGGAGAAAAAGCAUCGCUAAACUCCGUGCCAGCGGCCGCGGUAAUACGGAGGAUGAGAGCGUUAUCCGGAUUUAUUGGGUUUAAAGGGUACGCAGGGGGCGUGUCAAGUCAGCGGUAAAAUGUCGGGGUUCAACCCCGGACGGCUGUUGAAACUGGCGUGCUCGAGUGGGAGAGAAGUAAGCGGAAUUCGUGGUGUAGCGGGGAAAUGCAUAGAUAUCACGAAGAACACCGGUGGCGAAGGCAGCAUACCGGCUCCACACUGACGCUGAGGCACGAAAGCGUGGGUAUCGAACAGGAUUAGAUACCCCGGUAGUC